This 497-nucleotide ribosomal RNA is filed under the name uncultured bacterium. Its description in RNAcentral is "partial 16S ribosomal RNA". It matches the Rfam family "Bacterial small subunit ribosomal RNA", at positions 28 to 507 of the family's 1533-position model. The record is from RNAcentral.
GACGAACGCUGGCGGCGUGCCUAAUACAUGCAAGUUGAGCGCUGAAGGUUGGUACUUGUACCAACUGGAUGAGCAGCGAACGGGUGAGUAACGCGUGGGGAAUCUGCCUUUGAGCGGGGGACAACAUUUGGAAACGAAUGCUAAUACCGCAUAAAAACUUUAAACACAAGUUUUAAGUUUGAAAGAUGCAAUUGCAUCACUCAAAGAUGAUCCCGCGUUGUAUUAGCUAGUUGGUGAGGUAAAGGCUCACCAAGGCGAUGAUACAUAGCCGACCUGAGAGGGUGAUCGGCCACAUUGGGACUGAGACACGGCCCAAACUCCUACGGGCGGCAGCAGUAGGGAAUCUUCGGCAAUGGACGAAAGUCUGACCGAGCAACGCCGCGUGAGUGAAGAAGGUUUUCGGAUCGUAAAACUCUGUUGGUAGAGAAGAACGUUGGUGAGAGUGGAAAGCUCAUCAAGUGACGGUAACUACCCAGAAAGGGACGGCUAACUACGUG